This 1627-nucleotide long non-coding RNA is filed under the name Homo sapiens (human). RNAcentral's name for it is "HSALNT0066911". Lineage: Eukaryota; Metazoa; Chordata; Mammalia; Primates; Hominidae. The record is from RNAcentral.
ACCCACCUCUGUUCCCACUGAGCAUGCCUCUUAAUGCCCAGGACUGCGCCAGCCCAGACAAGUCCAAGAGGAGGAUUCCAGGCAGUUAAGAUGGUUUCCGGAGAAGCCUGGAAUUUCCCCCCUCGAGUGUGCAACUGCUCUUCUGGGAACUUGGGUCUCCUCAUCUGAAACACAGGGAAUUAGAGAAGAUGAUUUUGUAACGCUCGAAGGCUCUGUAAUCCCCAAAAACAUGCUCUAAAGGGAUCUCCAGUCCAGCAUAUCAACCCAAACAAAAGACAACGCUGUGGUUACUUGUUCAAAUGCCUCUUUCUUCUUGUAAACAGUGCACUCCCAAUGACAGAGGCCCUCUGCUACUCAUCAUCUAGGUAGCUGACAGGUGGCUGCCUGCGGUACCUGAUGUUUGGACAGACAAACAAAUGACCAGGUGACACCCAAGUGCGAUUCUCUCUGAUCGCCAUCCUGUAGCCUGUCUCCUUAGCUGGGCUCCAAGCUCUUUGGGGAGCGAGGAACAGAUCUGUUCUACAUAGAAUCUCCAAUCAGAGCUGACGGUGGCUCAGGAAGCACCAGGGUGCCCAGGCUAGUUGUUGAAAUAUUGAAGUACUUCUGUGCAGUUGCUGAGCCUGAGAGAGCCUCUCUCCCCUCCCCCGCCACCAAGCCCAACAUCUAUCCGAAGGUUUCCUCUCCACCAUCCAGCCACUGAAGGGUGGUGACUGAUGUAGCAGGGCUGUAGGCCUCUGCUCCAGGACUGUAUAUGCCUGGUGCCAUUCUGAUUGGCCAGCGCCCUUGCCAUACUGUCGUUAAAUGUUGAGUGGUAGACCAGCCCAAUGCAGGUGAUGGGGAGGGAGAGCAGAUGACUGGUAGGUGCCACCUGUCACCUGAGAAUAGAUAUAUGUAGGCCCUGCUUUCCCAAUGGACUGAGAAUGUUCCCAGCAAAGAAGUGGGCAGUGUGUGCUGCCUGACCCCAAGAAGACACAUGCCCAGAUCCCUAGCUGGACAGAACGAGGACCUCCAAGCACACCUGCAGGCAAAGGAAUGGGCUGAGUCUCAGCCCCCCGGACUUACGAGCCAGGCGGCCCCACCUGUCUAAACUUGCGUUUCCUCUUCUGUACACAGGAGACAGUUAAACCUACCUUCCAGUUUGCGUGAGGACUUGUGUCUAACACGGGCUCUGAUCUGUACCCACAGGUAGGGCUUUCCCUCCUGACAAAAUCUUAUUUUGAUAAAUCAGGACUUUAAAAAUGACCAAGUGGUUAAGCAAGUGCAUUCCGUCUGUGCAGAUGCAUCAAGCUGUUCGCUUACCUACACAAUUCUGUAUGUAGAGCAGACGAUGAUCCAAUGCCAAAACAUCAAAUAUAUAUUCUUAGGCAUCAAAAGUAUUAUCAAUAAAAGUUAAGGUGCUAAAAAAGAAUGGCUGAGCAAAAUCUAGAAUUUGAGUCCUAGAGAAAGUUCCUGAGACAGGUCUCUUUCAAUCCUGAGUUUCCUGACAGCAGGGGCUGGGAGCAUAUCAAAACAGUCCUUGCUAGAAUUUUCCUCCUAAAGCUAAGUGUUUAACCGGUGCAUUUUAGCAACAGCAGAGCUGGAAAAAUAUAUCUGGGUAGAAGUAGCAGACAGACAGCGGUCAGCGAGC